GUAGGGAAUAUUGGGCAAUGGAUGCAAGUCUGACCCAGCCAUCCCGCGUGCCGGAAGAAGGCCCUCAGGGUUGUAAACGGCUUUUGACGGUGAAGAAUCGACAGGAUGCGUCCUGUUUUGACGGUAGCCGUUGAAUAAGCACCGGCUAACUCCGUGCCAGCAGCCGCGGUAAUACGGAGGGUGCGAGCGUUGUCCGGAUUUAUUGGGUUUAAAGGGUGCGUAGGCUGGAAGGUCAGUCAGCGGUGAAAAGCUGUCGCUUAACGAUAGUCUUGCCGCAGAUACUUCCGUUCUUGGAUGAGGAGGAGGCCACUGGAACGGAUGGUGUAGCGGUGAAAUGCAUAGAUAUCAUCCAGAACACCGAUUGCGAAGGCAGGUGGCUGUACCUUAAUCGACGCUGAUGCACGAAAGCAUGGGGAGCAAACAGGAUUAGAAACCCCAGUAGUCC
This 445-nucleotide ribosomal RNA is filed under the name uncultured bacterium. Its description in RNAcentral is "partial 16S ribosomal RNA". It matches the Rfam family "Bacterial small subunit ribosomal RNA", at positions 354 to 796 of the family's 1533-position model. The record is from RNAcentral.